RNAcentral lists this ribosomal RNA (380 nucleotides) under Bigelowiella natans. RNAcentral describes it as "partial Eukaryotic large subunit ribosomal RNA". It matches the Rfam family "Eukaryotic large subunit ribosomal RNA", at positions 1480 to 1872 of the family's 3401-position model. Lineage: Eukaryota; Cercozoa; Chlorarachniophyceae. The record is from RNAcentral.
AACUUUGAAGACUGAAGUGGAGAAGGGUUCCGCGGGAACAGCGUUUGGCCGCGGGUGAGUCGAUCCUAAGGAUUAGGGUAGCGCCGUAGCAUCCUCAUCGAAAGGGAAAAGGGUUAAUAUUCCCUUACCUUGGAGGGAUCCGAAGGCGGCAACGCAAGCGAGCUCGCAGACGCUCGCCUUGAUCCCGGGAGGAGGUCUCUACUCCUCUUGAUGCUUGUGGGGGCUUGGAGCAGGGUCAACUGGAGAAGGGGCUCCACAAGCGGCACAGCCCUGUUCGAAACACGGGGUCCGGUGCAUCAGGGCGGGCCCAUGAAAAUGCGAGGGAGCGACAAGGAUGCACCUCCCAAGGUCGUACCCAUAACCGCAUCAGGUCUCCAAGG